Molecule: long non-coding RNA, 264 nt
Filed under: Physcomitrium patens
Lineage: Eukaryota; Viridiplantae; Streptophyta; Bryopsida; Funariales; Funariaceae
Description: long non-coding RNA (PPAT_LNC002308)
Source: RNAcentral
UUUGAUACCGCUUUAUACUCACGAUCUAGUAUCCACUGACUGUCUUGUUAGAUUAAUCCAAUAAAUUUCAUUCACUUUGCAUACUCAAUCCUAUAGACACCCUUUUAACUCUUCGUCACAGACGUAACUCGAUUUCACAAAACAAUCAAGAGUAAUCAAAUCCACUUCAUUAAAAAUCCCGAUUCACCAUUACAACACUGACUUCAGCAAUGAUUGCCUCAGUCUUCCCAAAAUCCUAUGAAGAAAGAAAAAAUCCAAUUCUCU